CGGGGGGAGCAAGCGUUGUUCGGAUUUACUGGGCGUAAAGGGCGCGUAGGCGGCGCAACAAGUCACUUGUGAAAUCUCCGGGCUUAACCCGGAGCGGCCAAGUGAUACUGUCGUGCUAGAGUGCGGAAGGGGCAACUGGAAUUCUCGGUGUAGCGGUGAAAUGCGUAGAUAUCGAGAGGAACACCUGCGGCGAAGGCGGGUUGCUGGGCCGACACUGACGCUGAGGCGCGAAAGCCAGGGGAGCGAACGGGAUUAGAUACCCCGGUAGUCCUGGCCUUAAACGAUGGAUGCUUGGUGUCCGAGGUUACAUAGUCCUCGGGUGCCGUCGCUAACGCCUUAAGCAUCCCGCCUGGGGAGUACGGUCGCAAGACUG
This 373-nucleotide ribosomal RNA is filed under the name uncultured organism. Its description in RNAcentral is "bacterial SSU rRNA". It matches the Rfam family "Bacterial small subunit ribosomal RNA", at positions 526 to 896 of the family's 1533-position model. The record is from RNAcentral.